GACGAACGCUGGCGGCGUGCUUAACACAUGCAAGUCGAACGGAAAGGCCCUGCUUUUGUGGGUUUCUCGAGUGGCGAACGGGUGAGUAACACGUGAGUAACCUGCCCUUAAAUGUGGGAUAACUUCAGGAAACUGGGGCUAAUACCGGAUAGGAGCUCCUGCUGCAUGGGGGGGGAUGGAAAGUUUCGGCGGUUGGGGAUGGAUUCGCGGCUUAUCAGCUUGUUGGUGGGGUAGUGGCUUACAAAGGCUUUGAAGGGUAGCCUGCCUGAGAGGGUGACCGGCCACAUUGGGACUGAGAUACGGCCCAGACUCCUACGGGAGGCCGCAGUGGGGAAUAUUGCACAAUGGGCGGAAGCCUGAUGCAGCAACGCCGCGUGCGGGAUGACGGCCUUCGGGUUGUAAACCGCUUUCGCCUGUGACGAAGCGUGAGUGACGGUAAUGGGUAAAGAAGCACCGGCUAACUACGUG
Molecule: ribosomal RNA, 468 nt
Filed under: uncultured bacterium
Lineage: Bacteria
Description: partial 16S ribosomal RNA
Rfam family: Bacterial small subunit ribosomal RNA
Source: RNAcentral